GGGGAAUUUUCCGCAAUGGGCGAAAGCCUGACGGAGCAAUACCGCGUGAGGGAGGAAGGCUCUUGGGUUGUAAACCUCUUUUCUUAGGGAAGAAAAAUGACGGUACCUAAGGAAUAAGCAUCGGCUAACUCCGUGCCAGCAGCCGCGGUAAUACGGAGGAUGCAAGCGUUAUCCGGAAUGAUUGGGCGUAAAGCGUCCGCAGGUGGUAAUGCAAGUCUGCUGUUAAAGAGUGUAGCUUAACUACAUAAAGGCGGUGGAAACUGCAUCACUAGAGUACGUUCAGGGCAGAGGGAAUUCCUGGUGUAGCGGUGAAAUGCGUAUAGAUCAGGAAGAACACCGGUGGCGAAAGCGCUCUGCUAGGCCGUAACUGACACUGAGGGACGAAAGCUAGGGGAGCGAAUGGGAUUAGAUACCCCAGUAGUC
Molecule: ribosomal RNA, 423 nt
Filed under: uncultured cyanobacterium
Lineage: Bacteria; Bacillati; Cyanobacteriota
Description: bacterial SSU rRNA
Rfam family: Bacterial small subunit ribosomal RNA
Source: RNAcentral